This is a long non-coding RNA of Oryzias melastigma (Indian medaka), 564 nucleotides long. RefSeq lists it as uncharacterized. The record is from RefSeq and is a predicted model, not a curated record. The transcript has 2 exons. NCBI's taxonomy places the organism in Eukaryota, Metazoa, Chordata, Actinopteri, Beloniformes, Adrianichthyidae.
UCUCUUUGUUUCCAUCAACAAGCUCAAUUCUCUCAGUUUCCAUGGAAAUGUGUAUUUUUAUUUGAAUAGGAGCUUCUAAACAAUCUUAAUUUAAACCGUGACUCAUACGUUAAUGAGUCAUUUUCAGUGUUGGAACAUGAUCUUUAAAGGAGUCGGUCUGAGCGGCUGGUAAAUAUUCUGCUCCUGAUUUGACCGCCGCUCCGCUGGAGUUCGUUUGCUCCUCUUGUUCUGCAGGAUCUAGUUUGGUGGGAACUUUCUGCAUGAAACCUCUGGAUCGGGCGCCGUCAUAAAAAUCGUCAGGAUGUGGAAUGACUGGUCGCCCAACUGUUGCUCCAAUCAGCCAAGUGCAAACUGACAAACCAUCUGACUGUUGCUGACUCACACGUGCACAGAUGCAUGCUGGGAAAAGGCUGAAUCUGGAAGACGGAGGGAAAAAAUCCAAACAUGACUUCAGUUUUCAGCCUGAACUCCUGUAAUGUCUGCUCACUGAUAUGUGUUGAGAUGAUAAACAUUUCAGCUUCAGAGUCUGAGGGAAAAAAAAAUUAAAAAAACUGUUCAACAGAA